This 339-nucleotide ribosomal RNA is filed under the name Triticum aestivum (bread wheat). RNAcentral's name for it is "partial small subunit ribosomal RNA". Lineage: Eukaryota; Viridiplantae; Streptophyta; Magnoliopsida; Poales; Poaceae. The record is from RNAcentral.
AUGUACAUGUACCCAGGUGGAUCAAAUACAGAUACCGAUCAUAUAUUUUUGUUUACUCAUGUGUGUUUUUCAUAUGUCUGCCAAGCAUUUCGACAAAUUGAUUAUAUCAUUCAGAUGUAUUUAGGCCAGGUUUCUGUGAUCCAAAAAAAUCAUGUGGCAUUGUGUACUAUCCAUGAUGAUCUGACUUUGCUGGCCAGGUCAGAAAUUCAAGUAAUACGACUAUUGCGAUGCAUCUUCCUACGUGUGUGUAUUUAUUUGCAUUAUCAAUAUUUUCCUCCAAAUCAUUUGUUGGUCAUAAAUUAUUUUGCAUUAUUGAUGAUUAAUUUGCAAUUGAAAUGA